Pelobates cultripes (western spadefoot toad) is the source of this 258-nucleotide non-coding RNA. NCBI's taxonomy places the organism in Eukaryota, Metazoa, Chordata, Amphibia, Anura, Pelobatidae. The record is from the annotation of a GenBank genome assembly.
CUCUGAUUUCUGAUAGCUUAUUUAUAUUUCUAUACCUCUGGAGUCCUGACCUUGGCUUGUUAUGACACCAGAUAUCUUUAUUUUCUCUCUAAGCAUUAAAGGGCCAUUCCUCACCCAUAACGCACUUAACUUGCAUGGGUGAGGAGUAUCCCAUUUCAAAGACACUUUAGAAAACUGCUGAUUUCUUUAAACAAAAUCAACCUUUUUACCCCUUGACUGUCUGAUUAGUUCCCCUGAGCUAACAGAAGUGGAGCAGGC